UACGUAGGGUGCGAGCGUUAGUCGGAAUUACUGGGCGUAAAGCGUGCGCAGGCGGUGAUGUAAGACAGGUGUGAAAUCCCCGGGCUCAACCUGGGAACUGCAUUUGUGACUGCAUCGCUGGAGUGCGGCAGAGGGGGAUGGAAUUCCGCGUGUAGCAGUGAAAUGCGUAGAUAUGCGGAGGAACACCGAUGGCGAAGGCAAUCCCCUGGGCCUGCACUGACGCUCAUGCACGAAAGCGUGGGGAGCAAACAGG
Molecule: ribosomal RNA, 253 nt
Filed under: uncultured bacterium
Lineage: Bacteria
Description: partial 16S ribosomal RNA
Rfam family: Bacterial small subunit ribosomal RNA
Source: RNAcentral